AGUGAACGCUGGCGGUAGGCCUAACACAUGCAAGUCGAACGGCAGCACAGUAAGAGCUUGCUCUUACGGGUGGCGAGUGGCGGACGGGUGAGGAAUACAUCGGAAUCUACUUUUUCGUGGGGGAUAACGUAGGGAAACUUACGCUAAUACCGCAUACGACCUACGGGUGAAAGCAGGGGAUCUUCGGACCUUGCGCGAUUGAAUGAGCCGAUGUCGGAUUAGCUAGUUGGCGGGGUAAAGGCCCACCAAGGCGACGAUCCGUAGCUGGUCUGAGAGGAUGAACAGCGACACUAGGACGAGACGCCGGACCAGACACGUGCGGGGGGCGGGAGGGAGGAAAAGGAGACAAGGGGCGCGAGACUGAUACCGCACAGCCGCGUGGGUAAAGAGGUGCGUGGGGUUGAUAAGUCUUGUUGUAGGAAGAGAAAAGCAGCAGGUGACCGCCCUGUUGUCCUGACGGUACCCAAAAAAAAAGCCCCGGCAAACUUCGGGCAAACCGCAGUGGUAAAAAUCA
Molecule: ribosomal RNA, 514 nt
Filed under: uncultured bacterium
Lineage: Bacteria
Description: partial 16S ribosomal RNA
Rfam family: Bacterial small subunit ribosomal RNA
Source: RNAcentral